RNAcentral lists this ribosomal RNA (253 nucleotides) under uncultured bacterium. Its description in RNAcentral is "partial 16S ribosomal RNA". It matches the Rfam family "Bacterial small subunit ribosomal RNA", at positions 524 to 776 of the family's 1533-position model. The record is from RNAcentral.
AACGUAGGACGCAAGCGUUAUCCGGAGGUACUGGGCGUAAAGCGCGGGCAGGCGGCUCGAUGCGUCUGAUGUGAAAUCUCCUCGCUCAACGGGGAGAGGCCAUUGGAAACGGUCGAGCUGGAGGGCAGUAGAGGUAGGCGGAAUUCCGGGUGGAGUGGUGAAAUGCGUAGAGAUCCGGAGGAACACCAGAGGCGAAGGCGGCCUACUGGGCUGCACCUGACGCUGAGCCGCGAAAGCCAGGGGAGCGAACGGG